Molecule: ribosomal RNA, 428 nt
Filed under: Bacteroidota bacterium
Lineage: Bacteria; Pseudomonadati; Bacteroidota
Description: Bacteroidetes bacterium partial 16S ribosomal RNA
Rfam family: Bacterial small subunit ribosomal RNA
Source: RNAcentral
UAGGGAAUCUUCGGCAAUGGGGGGAACCCUGACCGAGCAACGCCGCGUGAGUGAAGAAGGUUUUCGGAUCGUAAAGCUCUGUUGUUAAGGAAGAACGAGUGUGAGAAUGGAAAGUUCAUACUGUGACGGUACUUAACCAGAAAGGGACGGCUAACUACGUGCCAGCAGCCGCGGUAAUACGUAGGUCCCGAGCGUUGUCCGGAUUUAUUGGGCGUAAAGCGAGCGCAGGCGGUUAGAUAAGUCUGAAGUUAAAGGCAGUGGCUCAACCAUUGUAGGCUUUGGAAACUGUUUAACUUGAGUGCAGAAGGGGAGAGUGGAAUUCCAUGUGUAGCGGUGAAAUGCGUAGAUAUAUGGAGGAACACCGGUGGCGAAAGCGGCUCUCUGGUCUGUACUGACGCUGAGGCUCGAAAGCGUGGGGAGCGAACAGG